RNAcentral lists this ribosomal RNA (1247 nucleotides) under metagenome. RNAcentral describes it as "bacterial LSU rRNA". It matches the Rfam family "Bacterial large subunit ribosomal RNA", at positions 1635 to 2875 of the family's 2925-position model. The record is from RNAcentral.
GAUACGACCGUACCGCAAACCGACACUGGUGCGCGAGAUGAGUAUUCUAAGGCGCUUGAGAGAACUCAGGAGAAGGAACUCGGCAAAUUGACACCGUAACUUCGGAAGAAGGUGUGCCCUAUUAGUGUGUAGUGAACAACGAAGCAUGAAUGGGUUGCAAAAAAUCGGUGGCUGCGACUGUUUAUUAAAACACAGCACUCUGCAAACACGAAAGUGGACGUAUAGGGUGUGACGCCUGCCCGGUGCUGGAAGAUUAAAUGAUGGGGUGCAAGCUCUUGAUUGAAGUCCCAGUAAACGGCGGCCGUAACGAUAACGGUCCUAAGGUAGCGAAAUUCCUUGUCGGGUAAGUUCCGACCUGCACGAAUGGCGUAACGAUGGCCACACUGUCUCCUCCUGAGACUCAGCGAAGUUGAAAUGUUUGUGAUGAUGCAAUCUCCCCGCGGAAAGACGGAAAGACCCCAUGAACCUUUACUGUAGCUUUGUAUUGGACUUUGAACAGAUCUGUGUAGGAUAGGUGGGAGGCUUUGAAGCAGGGUCGCUAGAUCUUGUGGAGCCAACGUUGAAAUACCACCCUGGUGAGUUUGAGGUUCUAACCUAGGUCCAUUAUCUGGAUCGGGGACAGUGCAUGGUAGGCAGUUUGACUGGGGCGGUCUCCUCCCAAAGCGUAACGGAGGAGUUCGGAGGUACGCUAGUUACGGUCGGACAUCGUGACGAUAGUGCAAUGGCAUAAGCGUGCUUAACUGCGAGACUGACAAGUCGAGCAGAUGCGAAAGCAGGACAUAGUGAUCCGGUGGUUCUGUAUGGAAGGGCCAUCGCUCAACGGAUAAAAGGUACUCUGGGGAUAACAGGCUGAUACCGCCCAAGAGUUCAUAUCGACGGCGGUGUUUGGCACCUCGAUGUCGGCUCAUCUCAUCCUGGGGCUAUAGCCGGUCCCAAGGGUAUGGCUGUUCGCCGUUUAAAGAGGUACGUGAGCUGGGUUUAAAACGUCGUGAGACAGUUUGGUCCCUAUCUUCCGUGGGCGCUGCAGAUUUGAGGAAGCCUGCUCCUAGUACGAGAGGACCGGAGUGGACACACCUCUGGUGUAUCGGUUGUCACGCCAGUGGCAUUGCCGAGUAGCUAAGUGUGGAAGAGAUAACCGCUGAAAGCAUCUAAGCGGGAAACUCGUUUCAAGAUGAGAUCUGCCGGGGCCUUGAGCCCCCUAAAGAGUCGUUCAAGACCAGGACGUUGAUAGGUCAGGUGUGGAAGCG